RNAcentral lists this ribosomal RNA (590 nucleotides) under uncultured bacterium. RNAcentral describes it as "partial 16S ribosomal RNA". It matches the Rfam family "Bacterial small subunit ribosomal RNA", at positions 355 to 1375 of the family's 1533-position model. The record is from RNAcentral.
UGGGGAAUUUUGGACAAUGGGCGAAAGCCUGAUCCAGCAAUGCCGCGUGUGUGAAGAAGGCCUUCGGGUUGUAAAGCACUUUUGUCCGGAAAGAAAUCCUUGGCUCUAAUACAGUCGGGGGAUGACGGUACCGGAAGAAUAAGCACCGGCUAACUACGUGCCAGCAGCCGCGGUAAUACGUAGGGUGCAAGCGUUAAUCGGAAUUACUGGGCGUAAAGCGUGCGCAGGCGGUUUGCUAAGACCGAUGUGAAAUCCCCCGGGCUCAACCUGGGAACUGCAUUGGUGACUGGCAGGCUAGAGUAUGGCAGAGGGGGGUAGAAUUCCACGUGUANCAGUGAAAUGCGUAGAGAUGUGGAGGAAUACCGAUGGCGAAGGCAGCCCCCUGGGCCAAUACUGACGCUCAUGCACGAAAAGCGUGGGGGAGCAAAACAGGAUUAGAUACCCUGGUAGUCCACGCCCUAAACGAUGUCAACUAGUUGUUGGGGAUUCAUUUCCUUAGUAACGUAGCUAACGCGUGAAGUUGACCGCCUGGGGGAGUACGGUCGCAAGAUUAAAACUUAAAUGAAUUGACGGGGUCAUAGCUGUUUCCU